Molecule: transfer RNA, 76 nt
Filed under: Clostridiaceae bacterium
Lineage: Bacteria; Bacillati; Bacillota; Clostridia; Eubacteriales; Clostridiaceae
Description: tRNA-Phe
Rfam family: tRNA
About the family: Transfer RNA (tRNA) molecules are approximately 80 nucleotides in length. Their secondary structure includes four short double-helical elements and three loops (D, anti-codon, and T loops).
Source: RNAcentral
GGCCAGAUAGCUCAGUCGGUAGAGCAGAGGACUGAAAAUCCUCGUGUCGUUGGUUCGAUUCCGACUCUGGCCACCA